AUUGAACGCUGGCGGCAGGCCUAACACAUGCAAGUCGAGCGGAUGAAGGGAGCUUGCUCCUGGAUUCAGCGGCGGACGGGUGAGUAAUGCCUAGGAAUCUGCCUGGUAGUGGGGGAUAACGUCCGGAAACGGGCGCUAAUACCGCAUACGUCCUGAGGGAGAAAGUGGGGGAUCUUCGGACCUCACCCUAUCAGAUGAGCCUAGGUCGGAUUAGCUAGUUGGUGGGGUAAAGGCCUACCAAGGCGACGAUCCGUAACUGGUCUGAGAGGAUGAUCAGUCACACUGGAACUGAGACACGGUCCAGACUCCUACGGGAGGCAGCAGUGGGGAAUAUUGGACAAAGGGCGAAAGCCUGAUCCAGCCAUGCCGCGUGUGUGAAGAAGGUCUUCGGAUUGUAAAGCACUUUAAGUUGGGAGGAAGGGCAGUAAGUUAAUACCUUGCUGUUUUGACGUUACCAACAGAAUAAGCACCGGCUAACUUCGUG
RNAcentral lists this ribosomal RNA (484 nucleotides) under uncultured bacterium. RNAcentral describes it as "partial 16S ribosomal RNA". It matches the Rfam family "Bacterial small subunit ribosomal RNA", at positions 30 to 507 of the family's 1533-position model. The record is from RNAcentral.